Podarcis lilfordi (Lilford's wall lizard) is the source of this 12198-nucleotide non-coding RNA. Lineage: Eukaryota; Metazoa; Chordata; Lepidosauria; Squamata; Lacertidae. The record is from the annotation of a GenBank genome assembly.
AUAUCUGCAAGAGUAACAAAGGGAUCACAGUGAGAAGGACUACCAGAGGGAAUACCAUAUACAUAUAUAUAUACUGGUACCUACACAUAAAUAAAUACACACACUAUUUUGUGUCUAAUAAAAUAAUAAUUCAAGAUGGAUUGAGAAAAUAAUGGGGAAGAAGCAGCCCCUCUCCCCUGCCGUAAGUAAGUAAAAUAUUAUUAUUUUCUGCGCACAAGCACUUCCCCUUCAAAGAGUGUGGACACAACCAUCCCAAAAUCAGUUUGGUGGCCAAGAUCAAGUGUGCAUUGUGGAUAGGAAGGACUGAGGACAGGGAAGCUUGGGGGGGGGGGGUUUGUCACUGGAAGAAAUAAAAACAGCAGAACAUGCUUAGCAGUUUAGAAUUGGUUGCACUGGCAGAGCUCAGAAGAUGUAACCUGAAUAGAAUUCAGCCAAUACCAAAUUUGAUUACAUGAAGGUCAAAGGUGCAAUAAAGUCAAUCUGCUUAUUUCACUUGAAGGACCCACAGACAGAAAUUCACAGCCACACGCUGGAACCGCUGCCUAUCUCUCACUGUGAGAGAGCCUAGGACUAGAAAGGCCACGAGGGGCACUUGUCCUCAUGUCUACCUAACUCAACAGGAGGCAGAAGGGCUUAGCCAAGGAUAGAAAAGAGCAAGCAGCUUCAGUAUACUACACUAUUUACUACUAAGUGACAUUCUCGCAUUGGCUAGCAACCAAGUGGGCAAUGAUAUUAGCAGGAAAACAGAGGCAGGAAUAUCUUCCAGGGCUGUAUAAUGAUUCUGUACAGAAAAGGGUUAUAACCACCCAGACUAGGGGGCAGGGUAUGUUUAGGAAGAAUAAUUAGCAUCUUUUGAAUUUUUAGGACAAAAAAGAGGAGUGUUACAGUUAUCCUUUUCAAGGCAAGAGUCAGAUCUGCAGACUCAAUGCUUGUUCAAGAGUGGUCCAAAUCAGGUUCCUCCUCUCUCCUUUUCAGACAUUAAACCAGCAUCAAAACCAAACUUCCAAUAAUUAAGAGGCCACCAGGGAUACUUAUUUAUUUCGUGAAAGAAGAAGGUAGGGAGGAAAACAACAAGACUAACAAAUAAGGACAAGGAAGUGGCAAAGGGUGGGGGGAAACAAUAAACAAGAACACCCUAACAAAACAACUGUAACAAGAGUAAACAAGAAGCCCAAACAGGACAUUUUUCCUGCAGAGAAAAAUAUCAAACCGACCAGAGGCAGAACACAUCUGGAGAGCCAAUGAUAGGAUGGCUUCUCCUUCUCCUUGCUUGCACACCACAAAAGCAGCCCCUUACCCCCACAGAUAUUUCCCCACGGAAGGCAGUGAGAGUGGAGCUUGGAUAGAGCCAUGAGGCAGAGAUGGAUGUAGGCAGAAAGAAAAAGACUGGGACGGAUCUGCAGCUUCUCCCUGCAGCUGCCUCUGGAAGCAGCAGUGGGGUGGUGCCACUCUGUACUCUGCCCUCCUUGCCACAAUCCCUGUGUGCCUGCCUAUGUAUAUGCAGUACAGAGGUACCUCGGGUUAAGUACUUAAUGCGUUCCAGAGGUCCGUUCUUAACCUGAAACUGUUCUUAACCUGAAGCACCACUUUAGCUAAUGGGCCUCCUGCUGUCGCUGCACCACCAGAGCACGAUUUCUGCUCUCAUCCUGAAGCAAAGUUCUUAACCCGAGGUAAUAUUUCUGGGUUAGCGGAGUCUGUACCCUGAAGCGUAUGUAACCUGAAGCGUAUGUAACCCGAGGUACCACCGUACCAAGAAAUUCCCUGGGCCACAGAUACAUGCAGAGUGCCUGCUAACAUCUCAAGAUGUUGCAUAUAUAAAAGCUUGCCUACUCCAAAAGACACUGGCUAUAUUAAACAGAAAUCUAUAUAUAAUAUAUAUUUCGGUCAAUAACCGGUAGAGAACAGAAAUCUCAUUUCAUGUGGCAACCCUGGCACCACCCACUGGUGAAAUGGAAAGAGUGUGUCACAAGAAAAAAACACAGGCACAGGAGGUACUAUUUUUAUUUUGUAGUAUUAUUGCAGAGUUAAAGUGAAGGAUAAUAUUCAACAUUACCUAAGUCAUUGACAGUGGGCCAUUUUCAACUAACUCAUUGCCCUGGAACAUGCCAGCACAAGGACUCCUACUAGCACAAUGGGAUUUCCCCCUUCUCUUCCUCCCUCGUGCACCCCACACCCUCCCCAAAUCUGCUCUGGUGGGUCAGGAGAACCCCCAGAACAGCAUGUGGGGAGAGGAGAAGAAAGACUGUUCCGCUGGAUGAGCAGGAAUGUUUGCACUGACAGAAUGAUCCCUUUAGCCCACGUUGAAGACAACCCCAUUUCUGUUAAUUUUUUUCGAAAUCUUGUCAUUUUUACUGUCUCUUUAUCAGAUUAUGUUGAAUAUCAUCUGAGGUUGGUUUGCAUGUUUUAAGGUGCAUGUUUUCUCUGGGAUGCCACUGUGGCAUUCAAGCCCCUCCAAAGACUUGAAGAAACCAAACCUACCUCUCACCUAAGUACAUUGUUACAAUGGCACUAGAAAGAUUGAAUCUGUGAAUACAAAUGCUAUACACAACUCAGGAAAGUACUAUUUGAAUUUGAAUUUUAGUCAUUAGAAAUGUAGCUAUUUCAUUAUGGUCAUUAUACGGUAAUUCAUUUUCCAUUGUAAGCAAUUUGUAUUUUAUCGUUCAUGUGAACUGCCCAGAGAACGUGGCUGGACGCAUGGUAGACAAAUGCAAUAAAUAAAUAAUGUCAGAAAUGUGCAUUACUGUUCUGUGACCACAAUUUAUGUUCUAUGGAAGAACAUGGCAUCCAGAAUCUUCUCUCAGUAGCAGGUACUAGAGAUCAUUUUCUUUCUUUUUCCUAAGUGUCCCCCCCCCCCAUUUUGUCUCAUUUUUAUGUAAUAAAGUAAGUUUGUAUAUGCACAUGUUGGGAUGCAGGAAGGUGAAUCUAAUUCUGAAGAGAAACAUUGCAGACCUGCAACUGUUGUUCUUCUGGUGCUCAUCUUUAUAUUCAUUCAUAUGGCACAGAAGCUAAAUGUGGGAUUUCAGAGAGAUCACAGAUGAAAUAGAACUAUAUUUUCCUGAAGAACUCAGUUCUUUUAAAAGAAGAUCCCUCCCCCAGGACUUCCGGGGUGGCGCCAUCGGCAAUGGCGGACUCCCUCUGAUCUGGAGGGACUAGCUCCGCACGAAACGGGUCUUUUCCGCUACGGCGAAGCGGGGACCCUUUCAAAAAUCACAGGCGGAUGAAGCCUGUGACCAUGGGACUCGGCGGGCACCCUUAGCGCCCCCCCCCACCCCGCAAAGGAACCCACUAACAGGCUCCAAAGCGAAGAGGGGGAAGUGGCGCGGUGCUGAGAGUCAACUGCUUUUUCCGUGGAGCGAAGCUGCAUAGCCGUUGCCGGAGAGCGCUGCCUUUUUCCUGGGACAAUUUGGCUUCUAAAAUAAUCACCCGUGAGUACUUAAAUUUCGGACAAUUGGACUUUAAAUAAGGACUUGCGAGCAGAAAGGAAUUGGACUUAAAAAUUUACUUUAAUUUGGCACUGAAACGGGAAGGUCUAAACAGGAAGUCAGCCUUCCGUUUCUUUGUAGAUAGAUUAAAGCAAAGACAUGGCAAACUAGAGCUCAGAAAAUCGCCUGUAAAAGAUUAACUUUCAUCAUUUAAAAUUGUUGAACCCCCUUCGGAAGCAGGAGAAGAGGGGGGAUUUUUCGGACUGUUUAAACCUGCAGAAGUGAGGGUAAAGUAAAGUAACUUUCCACCGUCCUGAUCCUGGAGCGGGGUGUUAGGACUGACGUUUUUUGAAGCUCAUUGACCAGAGACAACGUUUUUGACAGAUAGCUAUAAGAAGAGAAACAUUGAUUCCACUGUUCCCCUUCGCUUUUUAAAGGAACAAAUAUUGACAAAAUAUCUGAAAAAGGAAACUUUGUUGCUAGACUUGGUCUUUAAAAGAAAGAACAAAUAGAAGUUUUUCCCCUAGAGGGAGACUGUGAAACUGUAACCAACUCCGGGGAGCUUGCAGCUGUUACAGAUUACAAUCGUGGGAAUAGAUUUCUGACCUUGCAGGACAAUGUAUUCAGAAGCUCUGUUGUGUGCUUUCUAUAAAACAAAUGCCCUACUGGAACAGUUACAUGAGAAGACGGAUUUGAUGACUGAUUCGAUCAGAAAUUUUAAACAGGCAGUGGGAAAUUUUGAACAGGCAGUGGGAAAUUUUGAACAGGAAGUGGGAAAAUAUAUGGCGCCCACCCAGGAAUUAAAUCAGGAGUGUGCCCUGACAGAACAGAUGAGGGAAGAGGAUGUUGCUGAAUCUUAGGCGCCAGAGAUGGAGGGAGCUGUGGCCCAACAGGAACAUGAGCUUUUGGAUUUGACAAAUGAACUUGGAAAAAGCCAGAUUUGGAAAGAUAAAGUUUGGUUUGGUUUGGAAAUGGGGGGCUGGAUAGACCCCCCUAUGCAGGGAUGUUUGGACUUUUCAAGUCUGGCAAUGGGCCGUGAGAUGUUUGGGGUUGUGGGGGCUCCUAAUUUUGGAGGGAUUUUGAAACAUGUUCUUAAAUACCACAUGGAGUUUAGUGUGGAUUAUGGAAAAGGGGCUGAUCUGUCGAGAAGGGUCAAAAACAUUGUCAAGCUGGAGUUCCCACGAGUGAAACGAGCAGGAGACAAGGGAAAAUACAGUUAUAAAUAUGAAGAAGAGCUGCGGAAGGGACAUGGAAGAGACUUAAGGGCCUCGGAUACAAGGAUACCAGGUUAAUGCGCUAGAUCGAUGGGAUAAUAAGGACUGACAAAACCCGGGACCAGGAGGAAGGGACGCUGGAUGAAGAUUGGAUUGUUUUUAUUUCUUUUUUACUACUAGGAUUGUUUUAUAAAAUUGAUGAAUGUUAGAAAAAUGUUGGAAUGAAAUUACUUGGCUUUAGUAAAAAUGUUUAAAGAAUUAUGUAAGAAUAUUAUGGUUAUGAGAAGUUGGUAAAAAUAAGAUUUAAGUUUUAAGUUUCAAGGUUUUUAUAGUAAGAUAAGAUUAAAAUAGUUUAAGGUAAUGUAAUGACAGAAUAUUAUGAAAUAUGGAAAGGAUUUGCUGCGACAAUUAACAACUAGGAUACAAAAAAGGGGAGGAGGAGGAGGUCAAAGAAAGAAGGUAAUGACAGUUGAGGAUUUGAGAAUAAUGGAUUUGUUUUUAAAUGUUUGUGGUGUAUUUUUGGUUUUUUUUUUGAAUUUGUAUUGUUUGAUGUGGUUUGUUUUUUCUUUGCUCUUUCUUUUCUUUUUUUUCUACUUUGUUCUCUUUUGUAAUUUAAAAAAAAUAAAUCCUCCGACCUUCUGAUCAGCAAGUCCUAGACUCUGUGGUUUAACCCACAGCGCCACCCGUGUCCCAAGCCAAAAUGCAAAGGUUUAAGCUUAUUUAGUCUCAAUGAAAACACUAGGGUUUAAAAUUAACUUCAGGUUUUCUGGUUUGUGAACAGAUCUGGCAACCUCCUUUACAUCCUAGAAACCUUUCAGGCCUGGUACAUAUGCACAGUACAAUUAAAGCAAGGGUGGAAAAUCUGUAGGUCUCUCCAGAUGUUGCGGGUGCGAUCAUCCCUGACCACUGGUCAUGCUGGCUAGGACUGGGAUGGAGUCCAACAACCCCUGGAGUACCACAGGUAGCUAGCUCAUCACUGAAUUAAAGGCUGCUUACUAGUACAAAUCAAAAAUCUAAACCAAGAGAAUGAUUUUUUUUAAGGUCAGUUUCAAUGGCCCAUUCCCUAUGGUAGAAACACAUGUGACUAUUUUAAGAUGGUCUUCUUUUCAAUUUUCAAUUCUGCAUCAUAUGUUCAACUUGGCUUUGCCUCUGGCAACUAUUGCCAAGAUGAGAGAGACAAUAUUUUAAAAUUACUUCUGCAUAUCAAGAAGACCUUUUCCAGAAGACCCUAAGCAUGCUCUCUGAGAUUCUACCGUGCAUUUUUCUGUUUAGGGAUAUUUGUACACUGUUAAUUCCCUGGCAGGUGGUAGCAAACAUUUGUUAUGUUUCCCUAACACUUUCCCCAGAUGCUUUUCUGGAACAAAUUCUAGGGAAAUGUAUUUUCCUGCUAAGUUACUGCGGUAAAGGGAUGCGUUAGUUUUUGAUGUGAUUGGGUCCUCAUAUGGGGCCUUUGUUGCCUCAGUUUCACAUGUGGAGCAACUGGUGUCAAAUAUAUUCCCCACAAGAAAAAACAAAAAGUUACCAUGUCAGAGGUCCUGUUCACACAUGCAUGUUCAUAGCUUCACACCUGCAAUAUCAAAUGAUAGAUUAGUCAUACAUGUGAAACAGGUAUCACAGGGUUUUUGUUGUUGUUGUUGUUUUUUAAACAGACAGAGGUUUCUUAUCACUUUCUAAUGAAGGUAAUUCACACAUUCAGGUAAAAGCCAUCAAGUGUGAGUAAUGAACUGAUGAGAUAUAAAAGAGAUUUACAAGCCCACCAUUGAAGGGCAAUUCAUUGUCCCAUUGAAAUGGUACCUCGGGUUACAUACGCUUCAGGUUACAAACUCCGCUAACCCAGAAAUAGUGCUUCAGGUUAAGAACUUUGCUUCAGGAUGAGAACAUAAAUCAUGCAAUGGCGGCGCAGCAGCAGAAGGAGGCCCCAUUAGCUAAAGUGGUGCUUCGCAUUAAGAACAGUUUCAGGUUAAGAACAGACCUCCAGAAUGAAUUAAGUUCUUAACCUGAGGUACCACUAUAUUGUCAUCUCAUGUAAUGGUACCUCAUCUUAUUUCACAUAGGAGGGGAGACAUUUGUUGGAAUAAUACCCAAUUCAAACUUGUGCUCUUGGAUUCAUUAGACCUUGGAACAAACACAUUUUUAAAACACUGUUAGUUAUCAGGUGGGGGGGGGGAUUAAACUAUUGCACACAAAUAGUUCCUCAUGCAAAAUUGAAAAGGUACAGCUCUCGUGCCCCAAGGCUAUAUUGUGUUUAAAAUGAAUCUAAGAAUCAGCCUUGAGUGACAUCCUAGAAAAAGAUGGAUAGUGCAGAUUCCUCCUGAAAUGCUGAAUAUUGGGGGGCAGAGAGAAAUAAUACCUUAGUGUCGACUUCAUUUAGUGCCUACUACGUACUGUACAUUUAGUGACCAGGGAGAAAAGACUGUAGGGUUAGUAUCUAUUAUCUCCCGUUGCAGUAAACACAGGCCCAACAAGUACUUUGCCCUGUAAAGUUUUAUUUUUAUUUACACUGGCUAAGAAAAAUGUGUGGGAUAACCAGCUUCAUAUAACUAAAGUGCUUAAGUCUAAUAAAUGCAUGAAGGGGUUAAGACCAUAGAGUCAGCUCUAUUACCAGGUGUACUUCACCUUGGGAGGGACCAGGUAAUCAGCCCUACUGUUCUCUCCUAGCCUCCCUGAGAAGCUCAACAUGUGAAGAGGUUUGAGCUGGUAGCUGUAGCUCAGUUUGCAUGGCUCUCACAAGCCACGCUUGAGUUCAUAUACCAGUAAUUUAGGAACUUUCACCAUUUUGUAACUAAGUUUUACUUCCUGUGUUCUGAAGCACAUGAAUCUGACCAUUGGAGAGUUUGCAAGCAAACCAUGUUUAACAUACCAAACAUAUGGUCUUUUUUCUAUGCUGGGGGAAGUAGGAAACUCUGGAAAGGAACAUUUUAAGGGGAUAUUUUGGAACUAGCUUUAAAGGGCACAUUUUAAAGUUUUACAUACUAUAUUUUCAUGUUUAAGUUUGCUGCAUAGUUUGUAAUUUUAUAUCUAAGUGGGACAUCUGCAUCUAGAGAAUGAUACAAUCUAACCAGAUUAAGAUUGGUUGAAGCCUUGGAGCGAUACUAAUUUAUGAAGGGGCAGAAAAAGGUGGCUCCUCAUAGCACUAAGAUGUAGCACUAGGAUAAAUGGAAACAAAAUCUGACAUCUACAAGCAUCAAGUCCCACUUUGCCACCAUUUUAUAUGUCCUUAGAUAUCUUCACAACAGCCAUGUGAGGUAGGCUAGGCUGAGAAUUGUUGACUAGCCCAAGGGAGUAAGCAAAAACAAUAAAAAGGGAAAGUGAGUUAGAAUGUGAAACUGCACAUGCUCAAAGUAUUUUCAUUUUUGUUUAUGAAGGUUAGCAAAAUGCUUUCUGUUUGCAUUUUGCUGCGAGUUGUGAAACACUACAGGCUCAAAGUAUUUUUUGUAGUCAACAGAAGCUUAUGCCAUAAUAAAUUUGUUAGUCUUUCAGAUGCCACAUGAGUUCAUUUUUGGUAUUUUACUUCAUGUAUUCCAUUUUUGGGAGAAUGGGGCUUUAUUGUUGAGAACUGCACCAGGACUCCCAACUAUCUUAAUCUGGCUUUGGCUAUCCAGCUAGGGACAGACAACUUAUACAGUUGCCAUUUAAUCAACAGUGGACUGAUUACAUUUUUGUGGGGGUUUUGGCUUGUUUAUUCAACUGAUAAGUUACUGUAAAAUAAUUUAUAGUAUUAAUGUAUGUUUAAAUCUAUAAAAUAAACACUGUUCACAUUGAUCUAGCUCAGGAGCAAUUGCCAAUCUGUCCUUCCUCAUCCGUAGCUGAGAGCUAUGAGUAUUACAUUGGCUCGUAUGCAUCAUCACAUUAUGGAAAAUGGAAAAUUAUCAUAAAAUGAUGAAAGAACCCCUACCUGCACAAUUCUCUCCCAUCCCCCAUCUUGCUGUAGAUCUCUUGCAGCAAUUGUUACCUGGAAAAAGGAAAGACACAUGUCCUCAUACAGCUUCCAUAUUCAAGGAAAUGAGGCAGGGGAGGGAAUGGGCCAAAGAGUGCAUGCAGAUGGGAGCAAUCUCUGCCAUAAUACAACAACACCGAUGUGACAGGGCAUCGAGUUGUGCAACAACCUGAUGUGACAGGAGACCAUGAAAUACACAAGAAGCACACUGACAGUUGUGAAGAUGAAGAUGUGAUAAUUUUAUCUGAAAAGGACACAGGUUACCCGUCAUUUCAAUAAUGUUAAUAAUUAGCAAGUAAACAAAGAUGUUCUUGUAAAACUUCCAUUUUCUAAAUGCUGCAUUAUAACUCUAGGGGGGAAAUUGUCGAUUGCAAACCUCAUCUGCAAAAAUUGCAACGUGAUAUCACAGCAUACAAGUGUUAUAAGAAAAAAUAAAACUACAGAUCACCCUUGGACUUGCUUAUACUGUAUAUAAAUUGAACAUAAAAUUGUGGUCCCGUCUUAAGGUUCUGCUUGAAGCAAUGUGUGAUUUCUGCACUCUGGGAGUCACACUAACCCAAUGAAGAACAAAACUGAGCAGUAAGCAGAUACUAGAAACUACAGCAGCCAGUGUAAAAGCUCUUUAUCUAGAAGGGGAAGAACCCAACAAAACAUCAAAAUCAGGGUUGAAUGCUAUUUUUUGGCGCAUCUAAUAGGACGUGUGUGUGUGUGUGUGUAUGUGUGUGUGUGUGUGUGUGUGUGUAGAAUAUAUAUAUAUAUAUGGCUUUUUUUCAGCCAGAACGCUCUGGGACUCAGUUCUGGCACCUCUCAGGUGGACACCAUUGCCAUUCUAAGAGAACAAGAGAAUUGUUCAUGCUGAGUUUCAGCACCUCUUUUUCUAGAAAAAUAGCACUGCACAGAGAAUAAACAAUCAGUCCCCCGGGCUUCUCAGUGCUCACUGCCCAAGAGUCUUAGUGCACAUCCUACUGUCUCUAAAUAAUUCUAAAUUGAUGCUUGAAAGAGAUUUCUAAACAGCCAUCUGAGUGAGCAGUCCCAAUUUCCUUUCUUUCAGGCUACAUGCCAAUAUUUCAUGAGCCCCAUCAUUUCUUCUCAUUUACUGUCACACUUUACACCCCAUUUUGCAAUUAGCACACUGUUUAACAUAGCACUGGUGUUAUUUACUAUAUAUUUUGGAAAACUGUCUAUUUGAUAUGCAUUUGGACACCUUUUAUGAUCUUGUAACCAAAUUAUGAGAAUUAUGAUUAUGGGGACUUCCAGGUGAAUGUGGCAAUGAGUAAGACUGCUUGUCCUUGAGCUAAGCAGUCUGCUUUAAUUUGUUUUUAAUUUGUUAUGAAUUGUUUCAAAGUUUUAAAGUCAAUUGGCUAAGCAGUUAAUGUUAAUUGCUACAUACAGGCAAUGAGCAUAUUUGUUUUACUUCUAUGUGGACUUAAAAGCCAUAUAUUUUAAUUGGAAGACAGGCACUGGGAGAGCAGCUGUGUUGGCUCUGCAUUUUUAACUGAUAAGAAAGGCUUAGAAGACUGUCUCAGCCAAAGGAUACUCUGCAGUUUUAACAUGGUUAUUACAUGAGCACAGACCCACAUUGCUUCAGACGAAGUGUACAGAACUCCAUUGCCAAAUUUACUCCAGAAAUGUAUGCAGGGCUACUGUGACUCAGCAAGGGAGGCAGAGGUAACUGGAAAUAAAUUGUGGCAAGAUGUAAUUAAUAUGUAUUACGUGGGCAGCUACGUGGCGAGUGUGCAAGUAAUAGGGCUCAUGAUGCCUUAUCCCAAGUAGGAUGUUUUGCUACAAAUUCCUUUAAUAAAAGCCUAGCUAACUGGUCAACCAAUCCCGACUUGCUAGGAGCUGAGAUAUAUGUUCCCAGGCAACCUCAGCUUCCUCCACAUAAUGAAACCUCAACUAUGCGUAAUAACAAUAUUGGCAUAAUACUCGGCCACAACAGAGACUGAACCUCCCUCACUGUGGGAACUUUUACACAUCCCAUGUCUUCUGUCUAAACAAACAGUAGAUGGAAUCUUUAGAAAAACUGAUGCAUUAGAAAAAGUUUAAAUACCAUCACUGGUGCACUGGCUGGGUUUGUGGAGACAUGAAUUCUGAAUGUAGCCCAUCCAGAUAAGCCCUACCUGCAAAUAAACUUUUGUAUACAGUGGUACCUUGAGUUACAUAUGCUUCAGGUUACAUAUGCUUCAGGUUACAGACUCUGCUAACCCAUAAAUAUUACCUCGGGUUAAGAACUUUGCUUUAGGAUGAGAACAGAAAUCGUACUCCGGCGGCGUGGCAGCAGCAGGAGGCCCCUUUGCUAAAGUGGUGCUUCAGGUUAAGAACAGUUUCAGGUUAAGAACGGACCUCUGGAACGAAUUAAGUACUUAACCCGAGGUACCACGGUAAUCUUCUUUCAAAUGUCAUAACCCCACCUAGGUCCUUAAGCAGUCUCUUUUGCUCCUCUCUCCAAAUCUUUAUUCUCUUCUGUUUUGUUUAACUCAUUUGCCUUUGCCUACCCAUCUUGGCCAUAUUUCUCAUUAGAGUGGUACCAGCUUCCUGUUUAUCCUGUCCCAACAGUCCAGUUCCAUCCUGGAUAAAACUGAGCCCUUCUCUUUUGUACAGGCCAGACUUCUCCCCAAGUGCUCUCCAGUUGCCCUCUUCCCGACACCCAUGUACAGUGGUACCUCAGGUUACAUACGCUUCAGGUUACAUACGCUUCAGGUUACAUAUGCUUCAGGUUACAGACUCUGCUAACCCAGAAAUAGUGCUUCAGGUUAAGAACUUUGCUUCAGGAUGAGAACAGAAACCGGGCUCCGGCGGCGCGGCAGCAGCAGGAGGCCCCAUUAGCUAAAGUGGUGCUUCAGGUUAAGAACAGUUUCAGGUUAAGAACGGACCUCCAGACCGAAUUAAGUACUUAACCACUGUAUUGCAACUCCACAGCUGUGCCUUUUUCACUGACUCUCCACAUGGAAUCGGUAGCAUUUCAGAUACUUCCUUUGAAGUUGGAUCACCUGAUGUCAUAUGGCUUCAGGUGAUUGACAGGCUGCACCCACCCAUCAGAUGUGGCCCACAGAGAGCAGGCCAGCUUUGGCCCACUGGCCAGGCCCAGUUUGCCACCCCUGCAUUAGACCUCUCAAAUGUAAGGUGCAGUGUAUUUCCCUACAUAAAGGACUGUAUCUAAACCAUGUGAUUUAUCUCACAUCACAUUUCAAAUGUAUGCAUGCUUUCCUACUGAGAGACCAGCUACAAAAGAAAUGAGCUGUGUUUAGAGCAGGGGCAUGGACACUCUGUGCCCAUGAGCACACAAAAACCAGCAGCUAGCCCUGUUUGACACUUGCUUAUCACCUGGAUAACCUACUGUCCAAAUUCUUCCUCACUUUUAGGGUUGAAUAUUGUAUAACCCACCACAGCACAUGCAACAUUUAUAUUAUCUUCGGCCGUGAUUAUCUACAGCAGAGUGUAAGAAGUCUAAUGAGUAUCCGCCAUCCCAUAGGUAUGGAGCAGACUUAAAAAACGUUGGGCCUAGGGGUAUUGUGAAGAAAUUCCUGGAGAACAGCCAAACUUAAAACAGAUGUGGAUCAAAGCUGAAGACAAGGAUCAGCAGAAAUGUUUUCUUGUUCAAGGGCAGAUGCUAUCUUUCAAACAG